Molecule: ribosomal RNA, 274 nt
Filed under: uncultured bacterium
Lineage: Bacteria
Description: partial 16S ribosomal RNA
Rfam family: Bacterial small subunit ribosomal RNA
Source: RNAcentral
CUACGAACUGUGCAAACGUUAUUCGGAAUCACUGGGCUUAAAGGGUGCGUAGGCGGGUUUGAAGGUCUGAUGUGAAAGCCCACGGCUCAACCGUGGAAUUGCGUUGGAAACCACAAGCCUUGAGGGAGUCAGAGGUGAGCGGAACUAAUGGUGGAGCGGUGAAAUGCGUUGAUAUCAUUAGGAACACCGGUGGCGAAAGCGGCUCACUGGGACUCUUCUGACGCUGAGGCACGAAAGCUAGGGGAGCGAACGGGAUUAGAAACCCCUGUAGUCC